CGUACUCUGUCGUGGCUGUCAGGAUGCCAAGAGACAUGCGAGACCCCGGGCCAAAAUAGCGACGUAGACAUGCCCAGAGAGGAAAGCUGGCACGAGGUGAUAUAUAAGGUGCAGACCACUCUGUGCCGGACGCUGUGCGAGCAGAGAAAUAAAUGCAUGAUCCACCAGCAGCCUGAGAGCAUCUCGGUAAGGAUCCAGCCCUGAGGGCUCUUUUUGGGCAGGGAAGGCAGCGCUGCGAGCCCCCCGAUCCCAGCUUUGGCAGCAGGGGCUGCGGGCUGACAGCUGCCGGCCUCCCCAGCCCAUUUCCUCCGGCUGCUGCCAAGCCGAUCGCUGCGGAGCUCUUCUCGAAAUGAAUUUUCUGGAAAACAAAUUAAAGGAGGGGGGUUACAUCACGCAGCAGCCAGCCCAAGCAGCGCUGCGCUGUGCGCGCUGACAAACCCUGCCUGUAUUUUGGGCUCUGCACCACAUUGCUCGCAGCUGCUGCCGCCACUGCGCUGGAAUUUGCAGCUCGCCAUCUAAAUAUACUGUAACAAUAAACUGAUCAAAGCAGCUAAAUAUUAUUGUCUGCUCUCCGAUGGGCGGCGCGGAGGACGGCCUCCCAGAAAACCUCCGGUUACUUCGUUUUUCCCCCUGUGCA
Molecule: long non-coding RNA, 637 nt
Filed under: Cairina moschata (Muscovy duck)
Lineage: Eukaryota; Metazoa; Chordata; Aves; Anseriformes; Anatidae
Description: domestica (muscovy Duck (domestic type)) lncRNA (ENSCMMG00000000366.1)
Source: RNAcentral